GAUCAUGGCUCAGAACGAACGCUGGCGGCAGGCUUAACACAUGCAAGUUGAGCGGGAUUGAUUGAUAGCUUGCUAUUAAUCAUGAGAGCAGCGCACUGGUGAGUAACACGUGGGAACAUACCUUUUUGGUGGGGGACAACAGUUGGAAACGACUGCUAAUACCGCAUAAGCCCUGAGGGGGAAAGGAGAGAUUUGCCGAAAGAUUGGCCCGCGGAAGAUUAGGUAGUAGGUGGGGCAACGGCCUACCUAGCCGACGAUCUAUAGCUGGUCUGAGAGGACGAUCAGCCACAUUGGAACUGAGACACGGUCCAGACUCCUACGGGAGGCAGCAGUGAGGAAUAUUGGGCAAUGGAGGAAACUCUGAACCCCCAGCCAUGCCGCGUGAGUGAAGAAGGUUUUCGGAUUGUAAAGCUCUUUCGGACGGGAAGAUAAUGACGGUACCGUCUAAAGAAGCACCGGCUAACUUCGUGCCAGCAGCAGC
Molecule: ribosomal RNA, 481 nt
Filed under: uncultured bacterium
Lineage: Bacteria
Description: bacterial SSU rRNA
Rfam family: Bacterial small subunit ribosomal RNA
Source: RNAcentral